UACGUAGGGGGCAAGCGUUGUCCGGAUUUACUGGGCGUAAAGAGCGUGUAGGCGGCCAAGCAGGUCCGUUGUGAAAACUGGAGGCUUAACCUCCAGACGUCGACGGAAACCGCGUGGCUAGAGUCCGGAAGAGGAGAGUGGAAUUCCUGGUGUAGCGGUGAAAUGCGCAGAUAUCAGGAAGAACACCAAUGGCGAAGGCAGCACUCUGGGACGUGACUGACGCUGAGACGCGAAAGCGUGGGGAGCAAACAGG
This 253-nucleotide ribosomal RNA is filed under the name uncultured bacterium. Its description in RNAcentral is "partial 16S ribosomal RNA". It matches the Rfam family "Bacterial small subunit ribosomal RNA", at positions 524 to 776 of the family's 1533-position model. The record is from RNAcentral.